AUUGAACGCUGGCGGCAGGCCUAACACAUGCAAGUCGAACGAGUGGCGGACGGGUGAGUAAUGUCUGGGAAACUGCCCGAUGGAGGGGGAUAACUACUGGAAACGGUAGCUAAUACCGCAUACCAUCGGAUGUGCCCAGAUGGGAUUAGCUAGUAGGUGGGGUAACGGCUCACCAAGGCGACGAUCCCUAGCUGGUCUGAGAGGAUGACCCGCAACACUGGGACGGAGACACGGGCCAGACUCCUACGGGAGGCAGCAGUGGGGAAUAUGGCACAAUGGGGGCAAGCCUGAUGCAGCCAUGCCGCGUGUAUGAUGAAGGCCUUCGGGUUGUAAAGUACUUUCAGCGAGGAGGGGUUACUCGCAGAAGAAGCACCGGCUAACUCCGUGCCAGCAGCCGCGGUAAUAC
Molecule: ribosomal RNA, 406 nt
Filed under: uncultured bacterium
Lineage: Bacteria
Description: partial 16S ribosomal RNA
Rfam family: Bacterial small subunit ribosomal RNA
Source: RNAcentral